This 441-nucleotide long non-coding RNA is filed under the name Panax ginseng (ginseng). RNAcentral describes it as "long non-coding RNA (PGIN_LNC013228)". Lineage: Eukaryota; Viridiplantae; Streptophyta; Magnoliopsida; Apiales; Araliaceae. The record is from RNAcentral.
AAACACAUCCAUUAAAUAUUUAUAUAAUUUAAUAAAUAUUUAAAUAUUAAUUAAAAAUCAUGAUUGUUACAUCAUUCUCUCCUUACAAGGAUUUUGUCCUCAGAAUCACAACUCAAACCACUCAUUCGUUACAGGGGUAACCUCUCUUUUAUAGUGCAACGGAUGGAGAAGGUUUGGGAAAGUUUGGCAGAUAAUUAGGCAAGUAUGACAAAUAAUGCGGCCACCCAACCCACUAUAAUUCACCAACUUUCAAUUUCCACCAAUCAAAGUGGUCCCAUGGGAGAAAACAAGGCACAUGAAUACAGAAGAAAAUAAAUUAAUCUUCCCACCUUUCUUUUCUUCUCUGCCUAAUUCUUUUACAUUCAAAGCCUAACUCCUCCCAUUUACUUAUGGGAGAGGACCCACCCAUUUGGAAAACUUAGUUUGCAGGAAGAGUUUGAA